RNAcentral lists this ribosomal RNA (253 nucleotides) under uncultured bacterium. RNAcentral's name for it is "partial 16S ribosomal RNA". It matches the Rfam family "Bacterial small subunit ribosomal RNA", at positions 524 to 776 of the family's 1533-position model. The record is from RNAcentral.
UACGUAGGGUGCAAGCGUUGUCCGGAAUUAUGGGGCGUAAAGAGCUCGUAGGCGGUCUGUCGCGUCUGCUGUGAAAACUCAGGGCUUAACCCUGAGCUUGCAGUGGGUACGGGCAGACUAGAGUGCGGUAGGGGAGACUGGAAUUCCUGGUGUAGCGGUGAAAUGCGCAGAUAUCAGGAGGAACACCGGUGGCGAAGGCGGGUCUCUGGGCCGUAACUGACGCUGAGGAGCGAAAGCAUGGGGAGCGAACAGG